This 1080-nucleotide ribosomal RNA is filed under the name uncultured Bacillota bacterium. Its description in RNAcentral is "bacterial SSU rRNA". It matches the Rfam family "Bacterial small subunit ribosomal RNA", at positions 13 to 1087 of the family's 1533-position model. The record is from RNAcentral. Lineage: Bacteria; Bacillati; Bacillota.
UUGAUCCUGGCUCAGGAUGAACGCUGGCGGCGUGCUUAACACAUGCAAGUCGAACGGAACUCCUAUGAACGAGGUUUCGGCCAAGUGAAUAGGAUGUUUAGUGGCGGACGGGUGAGUAACGCGUGAGUAACCUGCCUUGGAGUGGGGAAUAACACAGUGAAAAUUGUGCUAAUACCGCAUAAUGCAUUUGGAUCGCAUGAUUCUGAAUGCCAAAGAUUUAUCGCUCUGAGAUGGACUCGCGUCUGAUUAGCUAGUUGGCGGGGCAAUGGCCCACCAAGGCGACGAUCAGUAGCCGGACUGAGAGGUUGGCCGGCCACAUUGGGACUGAGACACGGCCCAGACUCCUACGGGAGGCAGCAGUGGGGAAUAUUGGGCAAUGGGCGCAAGCCUGACCCAGCAACGCCGCGUGAAGGAAGAAGGCUUUCGGGUUGUAAACUUCUUUUGUCAGGGACGAAGCAAGUGACGGUACCUGACGAAUAAGCCACGGCUAACUACGUGCCAGCAGCCGCGGUAAUACGUAGGUGGCAAGCGUUAUCCGGAUUUACUGGGUGUAAAGGGCGUGUAGGCGGGAAAGCAAGUCAGAUGUGAAAACUGUGGGCUCAACCCACAGCCUGCAUUUGAAACUGUUUUUCUUGAGUACUGGAGAGGCAGAUGGAAUUCCUAGUGUAGCGGUGAAAUGCGUAGAUAUUAGGAGGAACACCAGUGGCGAAGGCGAUCUGCUGGACAGCAACUGACGCUGAGGCGCGAAAGCGUGGGGAGCAAACAGGAUUAGAUACCCUGGUAGUCCACGCUGUAAACGAUGGAUACUAGGUGUGGGGGGUCUGACCCCCUCCGUGCCGCAGUUAACACAAUAAGUAUCCCACCUGGGGAGUACGAUCGCAAGGUUGAAACUCAAAGGAAUUGACGGGGGCCCGCACAAGCGGUGGAGUAUGUGGUUUAAUUCGAAGCAACGCUAAGAACCUUACCAGGGCUUGACAUCCCGGUGACCGGCUUAGAGAUAAGCCUUUUCCUUCGGGAACACCGGUGACAGGUGGUGCAUGGUUGUCGUCAGCUCGUAUCGUGAGAUGUUGCGUUAAGUCC